UUGCUUCUUUUGGCAGCACAUAUACUAAAAUUGGAAAGAUACUAAGAAGAGUACCAUGGGCCCUGUGCAAGGAUGACAGGCAAAUUCAUAAAGCAUUCCAUAUAAAA
Small nuclear RNA from Callithrix jacchus (white-tufted-ear marmoset), 107 nucleotides. NCBI's taxonomy places the organism in Eukaryota, Metazoa, Chordata, Mammalia, Primates, Cebidae. The record is from Ensembl.